UGAGGAGUAGCUCAAUGGUAGAGCGUCUGACUUUGGUUCAGAAGGCUGUUGGUUCGAACCCAACCUUCUUAU
Molecule: transfer RNA, 72 nt
Filed under: Dyadobacter sp. Leaf189
Lineage: Bacteria; Pseudomonadati; Bacteroidota; Cytophagia; Cytophagales; Spirosomataceae
Rfam family: tRNA
About the family: Transfer RNA (tRNA) molecules are approximately 80 nucleotides in length.
Source: Rfam by way of RNAcentral